GCGUUGUUCGGAAUUACUGGGCGUAAAGCGCGCGUAGGCGGCUUUGUAAGUUAGAGGUGAAAGCCCGGGGCUCAACUCCGGAACUGCCUUUAAGACUGCAUGGCUAGAGUCAUGGAGAGGUGAGUGGAAUUCCGCGUGUAGAGGUGAAAUGCGUAGAUAUGCGGAAGAACACCAGUGGCGAAGGCGACUCACUGGACAAGUAUUGACGCUGAGGUGCGAAAGCGUG
This 226-nucleotide ribosomal RNA is filed under the name uncultured bacterium. RNAcentral describes it as "partial 16S ribosomal RNA". It matches the Rfam family "Bacterial small subunit ribosomal RNA", at positions 538 to 763 of the family's 1533-position model. The record is from RNAcentral.